RNAcentral lists this ribosomal RNA (1386 nucleotides) under Lacticaseibacillus rhamnosus. Its description in RNAcentral is "Lactobacillus rhamnosus 16S ribosomal RNA". It matches the Rfam family "Bacterial small subunit ribosomal RNA", at positions 91 to 1461 of the family's 1533-position model. The record is from RNAcentral. Lineage: Bacteria; Bacillati; Bacillota; Bacilli; Lactobacillales; Lactobacillaceae.
ACGAGUGGCGGACGGGUGAGUAACACGUGGGUAACCUGCCCUUAAGUGGGGGAUAACAUUUGGAAACAGAUGCUAAUACCGCAUAAAUCCAAGAACCGCAUGGUUCUUGGCUGAAAGAUGGCGUAAGCUAUCGCUUUUGGAUGGACCCGCGGCGUAUUAGCUAGUUGGUGAGGUAACGGCUCACCAAGGCAAUGAUACGUAGCCGAACUGAGAGGUUGAUCGGCCACAUUGGGACUGAGACACGGCCCAAACUCCUACGGGAGGCAGCAGUAGGGAAUCUUCCACAAUGGACGCAAGUCUGAUGGAGCAACGCCGCGUGAGUGAAGAAGGCUUUCGGGUCGUAAAACUCUGUUGUUGGAGAAGAAUGGUCGGCAGAGUAACUGUUGUCGGCGUGACGGUAUCCAACCAGAAAGCCACGGCUAACUACGUGCCAGCAGCCGCGGUAAUACGUAGGUGGCAAGCGUUAUCCGGAUUUAUUGGGCGUAAAGCGAGCGCAGGCGGUUUUUUAAGUCUGAUGUGAAAGCCCUCGGCUUAACCGAGGAAGUGCAUCGGAAACUGGGAAACUUGAGUGCAGAAGAGGACAGUGGAACUCCAUGUGUAGCGGUGAAAUGCGUAGAUAUAUGGAAGAACACCAGUGGCGAAGGCGGCUGUCUGGUCUGUAACUGACGCUGAGGCUCGAAAGCAUGGGUAGCGAACAGGAUUAGAUACCCUGGUAGUCCAUGCCGUAAACGAUGAAUGCUAGGUGUUGGAGGGUUUCCGCCCUUCAGUGCCGCAGCUAACGCAUUAAGCAUUCCGCCUGGGGAGUACGACCGCAAGGUUGAAACUCAAAGGAAUUGACGGGGGCCCGCACAAGCGGUGGAGCAUGUGGUUUAAUUCGAAGCAACGCGAAGAACCUUACCAGGUCUUGACAUCUUUUGAUCACCUGAGAGAUCAGGUUUCCCCUUCGGGGGCAAAAUGACAGGUGGUGCAUGGUUGUCGUCAGCUCGUGUCGUGAGAUGUUGGGUUAAGUCCCGCAACGAGCGCAACCCUUAUGACUAGUUGCCAGCAUUUAGUUGGGCACUCUAGUAAGACUGCCGGUGACAAACCGGAGGAAGGUGGGGAUGACGUCAAAUCAUCAUGCCCCUUAUGACCUGGGCUACACACGUGCUACAAUGGAUGGUACAACGAGUUGCGAGACCGCGAGGUCAAGCUAAUCUCUUAAAGCCAUUCUCAGUUCGGACUGUAGGCUGCAACUCGCCUACACGAAGUCGGAAUCGCUAGUAAUCGCGGAUCAGCACGCCGCGGUGAAUACGUUCCCGGGCCUUGUACACACCGCCCGUCACACCAUGAGAGUUUGUAACACCCGAAGCCGGUGGCGUAACCCUUUUAGGGAGCGAGCCGUUUAAG